AAACUUUCAACAACGGAUCUCUUGGCUCUGGCAUCGAUGAAGAACGCAGCNAAAUGCGAUAAGUAAUGUGAAUUGCAGAAUUUAGUGAAUCAUCGAAUCUUUGAACGCACAUUGCGCCCCUUGGUAUUCCGAGGGGCAUGCCUGUUCGAGCGUCA
RNAcentral lists this ribosomal RNA (155 nucleotides) under Golovinomyces lycopersici. RNAcentral describes it as "5.8S ribosomal RNA". It matches the Rfam family "5.8S ribosomal RNA". Rfam says of the family: 5.8S ribosomal RNA (5.8S rRNA) is a component of the large subunit of the eukaryotic ribosome. It is transcribed by RNA polymerase I as part of the 45S precursor that also contains 18S and 28S rRNA. Lineage: Eukaryota; Fungi; Ascomycota; Leotiomycetes; Helotiales; Erysiphaceae. The record is from RNAcentral.